GACACGUGAACUGCAUUGACACAGUCCAGGCUUCUAAUUGACACACCGGCUGCGUUGACACAGUCCAGGCUGCUAAUUGACACAUCGACUGUGUUGACACAGUCCAGGCUGCUAAUUGACACAUCGGCUGCGUUGACACAGUCCAGGCUGCUAAUUGACACGUGAACUGCACCGGUGCAGUUUAGACCGCAUCGGCUGCUUGGCACAGUACAGGCUGCGCCACUUAGUCCAGGGGGCGUCGACUCAGUGCAGAGGGCGUUGACGCAGCAAAAGCCCGCCGCACAGUGUUUAUAAGGAAGUGGGUUUGGCGACACAAUGCCACUUGCCGAAACAAGCCAGACCUCACUCACGCUCGCUUGUCGAAGUUCGUGUCAGUGCAGACUUCGUGUUCGUGCCUUCCUUGCCGAUUAUGGAGCAGAGACGCAAAUCAUCCGCCGUGUAGGACCAUUUUGAUGUCCCGGAGAAUAAGGUGAAAUGUCGAAUUGUCAUACACCAACAGAAGCACCUCCACCAUGCUGAGGCAUUAUCGGGCCAAGCAUGAGAAUGAAGUUCGCGAUACACCCAGUAUUACGCCAGGUUCCAGGAAGCAGCUGUACUGGAAGGACCAACACACUUCUUUCCCAAACCUCUCCCACCUCGCAAAGGAGUUCCUUUGUACGCCAGCCUCAUCCGUCCCUUGUGAGCGUGUGUUCU
Long non-coding RNA from Hippocampus zosterae (dwarf seahorse), 693 nucleotides. RefSeq lists it as uncharacterized. Lineage: Eukaryota; Metazoa; Chordata; Actinopteri; Syngnathiformes; Syngnathidae. The transcript is spliced from 3 exons. The record is from RefSeq and is a predicted model, not a curated record.